GGAGAGGGCUAGCGUUAUUCGGAAUUAUUGGGCGUAAAGGGCGCGUAGGCGGAUUAGUAAGUUAAAAGUGAAAUCCCAAGGCUCAACCUUGGAAUUGCUUUUAAAACUGCUAAUCUAGAGAUUGAAAGAGGAUAGAGGAAUUCCUAGUGUAGAGGUGAAAUUUGUAAAUAUUAGGAGGAACACCAGUGGCGAAGGCGUCUAUCUGGUUCAAAUCUGACGCUGAGGCGCGAAGGCGUGGGGAGCAAACAGGAUUAGAUACCCUGGUAGUCCACGCUGUAAACGAUGAAUGUUAAAUAUGGGGAGUUUACUUUCUGUAUUACAGCUAACGCGUUAAACAUUCCGCCUGGGGACUACGGUCGCAAGAUUAAAACUCAAAGGAAUUGACGGGGACCCGCACAAGCGGUGGAGCAUGUGGUUUAAUUCGAUGCAACGCGAAAAACCUUACCACUCCUUGACAUGGAAAUUAUACCUAUUCGAAGGGAUAGGGUCGGUUCGGCCGGGUUUCACACAGGUGU
Molecule: ribosomal RNA, 515 nt
Filed under: bacterium symbiont of Megymenum gracilicorne
Lineage: Bacteria
Description: bacterial SSU rRNA
Rfam family: Bacterial small subunit ribosomal RNA
Source: RNAcentral